RNAcentral lists this ribosomal RNA (124 nucleotides) under Castor canadensis (American beaver). The record is from RNAcentral. Lineage: Eukaryota; Metazoa; Chordata; Mammalia; Rodentia; Castoridae.
GUUUAUAGUCACACCACCCUGAGCGCGCCCAAUCUUGUCUGGUCUGGAAAGCUAAGCAUGGUUUGGCUGGCUUUAGUACUUGGAUGAAGACAGAUCUUCAGAGGAGACUGCUCAGAGACAAGCA